ACUGGAGGACUGAUAAGAUGGGGUCUGAAGAGUGAGACUCGAUUAAUACUGUCCUCCUAAAAAGAAAGGAUUGGAGAGAGCCGUCCUGCUUGCAGAGAAGUACAGGACUGACUGCACCAUCCGACAUGA
This is a non-coding RNA of Nothoprocta perdicaria, 129 nucleotides long. Lineage: Eukaryota; Metazoa; Chordata; Aves; Tinamiformes; Tinamidae. The record is from Ensembl.